AAUAUUUUUUGGCGGGAAAUAGAUUUACAAGGGAUUUUAAAAGGGUUUAAAAAGAUUUACAAGAAAUUUUAAAAGAGUUUUAAAAGAUUUACAAGGGAUUUUAAAAGGGUUUUAAAAUAUUUACAAGGAUUUUAAAAGAGUUUUUUAAAAGAUUUACAAGGGAUUUUAAAGUGCUUUAAAAGAUUUACAAAGCUUUUUUAAAGAUUUUUAAAGGGUUAAAAAUUGUUUUAAAAAGGUUUUAAAAUAUUUACAAGGGAUUUUAAAAGAGUUUUAAAAGAUUUACAAGGUAUUUUAAAAGGGUUUUAAAAUAUUUACAAGGGAUUUUAAAGGGCUUUAAAAGAUUUACAAAGGUUUUUUAAAGAUUUUUAAAUGGUUUAAAAGUGUUUUAAAAGAUUUACAAGGUAUUUUAAAAGGAUUUCAAAAGAUUUACAAGAGAUUUUUAAAGAUGUACAAGUGUUUUUAAAAGAUAUUUAAAGAAUUUACAAGAAGACCCUUUAAAAACUCUUGUAAAUAUUUUAAAAUCUUUUAAAAUCUCUUAUAAAUCUCUUAAAAUACUUUUAAAAUCUCUUGUAAAUUUUUUAAAACCCUUUUAAAAUCCCUUGUAAAUAUUUUAAAACCCUUUUAAAAUCUCUUGAAAAUAUAUUUUUUCCCAAAACAAUUUUACAAGGAUUUGCAUAA
RNAcentral lists this small RNA (678 nucleotides) under Arabidopsis thaliana (thale cress). RNAcentral's name for it is "ATSL211440". Lineage: Eukaryota; Viridiplantae; Streptophyta; Magnoliopsida; Brassicales; Brassicaceae. The record is from RNAcentral.